AACGAACGCUGGCGGCAGGCUUAACACAUGCAAGUCGAACGGACCCUUCGGGGUUAGUGGCAGACGGGUGAGUAACGCGUGGGAACCUACCUAUAAGUACGGAACAACACAGAGAAAUUUGUGCUAAUACCGUAUGUGCUCUUUUGAGUAAAGAUUUAUCGCUUAUAGAUGGGCCCGCGUUAGAUUAGCUAGUUGGUGAGGUAACGGCUCACCAAGGCGACGAUCUAUAGCUGGUCUGAGAGGAUGAUCAGCCACACUGGGACUGAGACACGGCCCAGACUCCUACGGGAGGCAGCAGUGAGGAAUAUUGGACAAUGGGCAAAGCCUGAUCCAGCCAUGCCGCGUGGGUGAAGAAGGCCCCUAGGGUUGUAAACCCCUUUCAGCGGGGAAGAUAAUGACGGUACCCGCAGAAGAAGCCCCCGGCU
Molecule: ribosomal RNA, 425 nt
Filed under: uncultured bacterium
Lineage: Bacteria
Description: bacterial SSU rRNA
Rfam family: Bacterial small subunit ribosomal RNA
Source: RNAcentral